UUGAUCAAUAAGAAUACCAAAAGUUUUAUCCCUAAACUCUAUAUUCAUAACACUUCUAGUUUUAUUUACCAAACGAUUAAAGAAAAAACAAAUCCUCCUCUUCUCCAUUCUCUUUUCUUCAACCCUAGAUGAGCCGAUUGGAUUUGCCCUCACACAAACCCUACAACUUCCUCCUUCUCUAUCUCUCACAGAAUCUGAAUUCGCACUCUGAAAUUCCUGAUGACGAAACAAGCGCAACCCUUUAGGAGAUCUACCGGCGACAUCUAUAAGCGAGAACGAUGAGGCUGAGACUUCUUCUGGAGCAAGAAGAGGAAGAAGAAGAUGAUGAUAAGGUGAACCCAGACGUCCUCGUCCGCCGUCAUAGUCGCAGGCAAAACCGGCGAUGUGAAGACUUUUGGAGUUCUUCUUCUGCUUCUACCAGAUCUGGUGUCACUAUAUAUUGCAGAUCUUAGCAGUGUUGUGAGCCAGACUUAUGAGAGAACCAUAUACUAGCAGGUAGAGAUUGAGCUUCGAGCCCAAUGAUUGCAAUAGAAAUCAAGAGAAGGACAGAGAAAUCAAGUCAUUCAUAUAAGCUUUGAAUGUGUUCAGGGCAUUGUUGGAUUCGACGUUGGUUUAGCAGCAAUGGAGGAACCUAUGAGCUGUAAGUGUAUCAAGGCAUGUAAGAAGGGUGAAUCUGGAAGCUACUGUUUUUGGGAUAGUGCCGCUUACUUUAAGUUGCAGAUAUUGAGAACCAGCAGUGAGUGAGCAAGAACCCAAAAGAGAGAGCUGAAGAGAUUAGAGAGAAGAGGAGUUUUUUUGUCUGAGACAAGAGUAGUUGAUGUUUUUGUAUAUAAGAUUUGGUUUGGNUUUUUUUUUUUUUUUUUU
This is a long non-coding RNA of Camelina sativa (false flax), 864 nucleotides long. RefSeq lists it as uncharacterized. Lineage: Eukaryota; Viridiplantae; Streptophyta; Magnoliopsida; Brassicales; Brassicaceae. The record is from RefSeq and is a predicted model, not a curated record.